This 549-nucleotide ribosomal RNA is filed under the name uncultured bacterium. RNAcentral describes it as "partial 16S rRNA". It matches the Rfam family "Bacterial small subunit ribosomal RNA", at positions 355 to 873 of the family's 1533-position model. The record is from RNAcentral.
UGGGGAAUAUUGCGCAAUGGGGGGAACCCUGACGCAGCCAUGCCGCGUGAAUGAAGAAGGCCUUAGGGUUGUAAAGUUCUUUCGGUAUUGAGGAAGGUUGAUGUGUUAAUAGCACAUCAAAUUGACGUUAAAUACAGAAGAAGCACCGGCUAANNNNNNNNACAGCAGCCGCGGUAAUACGGAGGGUGCGAGCGUUAAUCGGAAUAACUGGGCGUAAAGGGCACGCAGGCGGUUAUUUAAGUGAGGUGUGAAAGCCCCGGGCUUAACCUGGGAAUUGCAUUUCAGACUGGGUAACUAGAGUACUUUAGGGAGGGGUAGAAUUCCACGUGUAGCGGUGAAAUGCGUAGAGAUGUGGAGGAAUACCGAAGGCGAAGGCAGCCCUUUGGGAAUGUACUGACGCUCAUGUGCGAAAGCGUGGGGAGCAAACAGGAUUAGAUACCCUGGUAGUCCACGCUGUAAACGCUGUCGAUUUGGGGGUUGGGGUUUAACUCUNGNNNCCCGUAGCUAACGUGAUAAAUCGACCGCCUGNNNNNUNNNNNNNNAAGGUUA